RNAcentral lists this ribosomal RNA (349 nucleotides) under uncultured bacterium. Its description in RNAcentral is "partial 16S ribosomal RNA". It matches the Rfam family "Bacterial small subunit ribosomal RNA", at positions 338 to 698 of the family's 1533-position model. The record is from RNAcentral.
CCUACGGGUGGCAGCAGUCGAGAAUCAUUCACAAUGGGGGCAACUCUGAUGUUGCGAUGCCGCGUGGGGGAAUGAAGGUCUUCGGAUUGUAAACUCCUGUCAUGUGGGAGCAAAUUAAAAAGAUAGUACCACAAGAGGAAGAGCCGGCUAACUCUGUGCCAGCAGCCGCGGUAAUACAGAGGUCUCAAGCGUUGUUCGUAAUCACUGGGCGUAAAGCGUGCGGGGGCUGUUUCGUAAGUCGUGUGUGAAAGGCGGGGGCUCAACCCGCGGACGGCACAUGAUACUGCGAGACUAGAGAAAAGGAGGGGGAGGCGGAAUUCUCGGUGUAGCAGUGAAAUGCGUAGAGAUC